This 406-nucleotide ribosomal RNA is filed under the name uncultured bacterium. RNAcentral describes it as "partial 16S ribosomal RNA". It matches the Rfam family "Bacterial small subunit ribosomal RNA", at positions 30 to 526 of the family's 1533-position model. The record is from RNAcentral.
AUUGAACGCUAGCGGCAGGCCUAACACAUGCAAGUCGAACGAGUGGCGGACGGGUGAGUAAUGUCUGUGAACCUGCCUGGUGGAGGGGGAUAACUACUGGAAACGGUAGCUAAUACCGCAUACCAUAAGAUGUGCCCAGAUGGGAUUAGAUAGUUGGGGGGGUAACGGCUCACCAAGGCCACGAUCCCUAGCUGGUUUGAGAGGAUGACCAGCCAAACUGGAACUGAGACACGGUCCAGACUCCUACGGGAGGCAGCAGUGGGGAAUAUGGCACAAUGGGCGCAAGUCUGAUGCAGCCAUGCCGCGUGUAUGAAGAAGGCCUUCGGGUUGUAAAGUACUUUAAGCGGGGAGGCGUUACCCGCAUAAGAAGCACCGGCUAACUCCGUGCCAGCCGCCGCGGUAAUUC